UACGUAGAUGGCAAGCGUUGUCCGGAUUUAUUGGGCGUAAAGCGAGCGCAGGCGGUUCUUUAAGUCUGAUGUGAAAGCCCCUGGCUCAACCAGGGAGGGUCAUUGGAAACUGGAGAACUUGAGUGCAGAAGAGGAAAGUGGAAUUCCAUGUGUAGCGGUGAAAUGCGUAGAUAUAUGGAGGAACACCAGUGGCGAAAGGCGACUUUCUGGUCUGUAACUGACGCUGAGGCUCGAAAGCAUGGGUAUCAAACAGG
RNAcentral lists this ribosomal RNA (254 nucleotides) under uncultured bacterium. RNAcentral describes it as "partial 16S ribosomal RNA". It matches the Rfam family "Bacterial small subunit ribosomal RNA", at positions 524 to 776 of the family's 1533-position model. The record is from RNAcentral.